This 451-nucleotide ribosomal RNA is filed under the name uncultured bacterium. RNAcentral's name for it is "partial 16S ribosomal RNA". It matches the Rfam family "Bacterial small subunit ribosomal RNA", at positions 354 to 796 of the family's 1533-position model. The record is from RNAcentral.
GUGGGGAAUAUUGGACAAUGGGGGCAACCCUGAUCCAGCCAUGCCGCGUGUGUGAAGAAGGCCUUUUGGUUGUAAAGCACUUUAAGCGAGGAGGAGGCUCUUCUAGUUAAUACCUAGGAUGAGUGGACGUUACUCGCAGAAUAAGCACCGGCUAACUCUGUGCCAGCAGCCGCGGUAAUACAGAGGGUGCGAGCGUUAAUCGGAUUUACUGGGCGUAAAGCGUGCGUAGGCGGCUGAUUAAGUCGGAUGUGAAAUCCCUGAGCUUAACUUAGGAAUUGCAUUCGAUACUGGUCAGCUAGAGUAUGGGAGAGGAUGGUAGAAUUCCAGGUGUAGCGGUGAAAUGCGUAGAGAUCUGGAGGAAUACCGAUGGCGAAGGCAGCCAUCUGGCCUAAUACUGACGCUGAGGUACGAAAGCAUGGGGAGCAAACAGGAUUAGAUACCCCUGUAGUCC